AGCACGGGAGCAAUCCUGGUGGCGAGUGGCGAACGGGUGAGUAAUGUAUCGGAACGUACCUUUCAGUGGGGGAUAACGUAGCGAAAGUUACGCUAAUACCGCAUAUUCUGUGAGCAGGAAAGCAGGGGAUCGCAAGACCUUGCGCUGAUUGAGCGGCCGAUAUCAGAUUAGCUAGUUGGUGAGGUAAAGGCUCACCAAGGCGACGAUCUGUAGCGGGUCUGAGAGGAUGAUCCGCCACACUGGAACUGAGACACGGUCCAGACUCCUACGGGAGGCAGCAGUGGGGAAUUUUGGACAAUGGGGGCAACCCUGAUCCAGCCAUGCCGCGUGAGUGAAGAAGGCCUUCGGGUUGUAAAGCUCUUUCAGCCGGGAAGAAAACGCAUGGGUUAAUACCCUGUGUGGAUGACGGUACCGGAAUAAGAAGCACCGGCUAACUACGUGCCAGCAGCCGCGGUAAUACGUAGGGUGCGAGCGUUAAUCGGAAUUACUGGGCGUAAAGCGUGCGCAGGCGGUUUGUUAAGAUAGGCGUGAAAUCCCCGGGCUCAACCUGGGAACUGCGUUUAUGACUGGCAGGCUAGAGUAUGGCAGAGGGGGGUGGAAUUCCACGUGUAGCAGUGAAAUGCGUAGAGAUGUGGAGGAACACCGAUGGCGAAGGCAGCCCCCUGGGCCAAUACUGACGCUCAUGCACGAAAGCGUGGGUAGCAAACAGGAUUAGAUACCCUGGUAGUCCACGCCCUAAACGAUGUCAACUAGGUGUUGGGUGGGUAAAACCAUUUAGUACCGGAGCUAACGCGUGAAGU
RNAcentral lists this ribosomal RNA (800 nucleotides) under uncultured bacterium. RNAcentral's name for it is "bacterial SSU rRNA". It matches the Rfam family "Bacterial small subunit ribosomal RNA", at positions 71 to 865 of the family's 1533-position model. The record is from RNAcentral.